This 252-nucleotide ribosomal RNA is filed under the name uncultured bacterium. RNAcentral's name for it is "partial 16S ribosomal RNA". It matches the Rfam family "Bacterial small subunit ribosomal RNA", at positions 524 to 776 of the family's 1533-position model. The record is from RNAcentral.
UACAGGGGGUGCGAGCGUUAAUCGGAAUUACUGGGCGUAAAGCGUGCGUAGACGGCUAUCUAAGUCGGGUGUGAAAGCCCCGGGCUCAACCUGGGAAUUGCAUUCGAGACUGAAUAGCUAGGGUACGGUAGAGGGAAGUGGAAUUUCCGGUGUAGCGGUGAAAUGCGUAGAUAUCGGAAGGAACAUCAGUGGCGAAAGCGACUUCCUGGACCAGUACCGACGUCAGGCACGAAAGCGUGGGGAGCAAACAGG